This is a long non-coding RNA of Cebus imitator (Panamanian white-faced capuchin), 113 nucleotides long. RefSeq lists it as uncharacterized. Lineage: Eukaryota; Metazoa; Chordata; Mammalia; Primates; Cebidae. The transcript has 3 exons. The record is from RefSeq and is a predicted model, not a curated record.
GCACACCUGUAAUCCCAGCUACUCGUGAGGCUGAGGCAGGAGAAUCAAUCGCUUGAACUCAGGAGGCAGAGGUUGCGGUGAGCCGAGAUCGCACCAUUGCACUCCAGCCUGGG